Molecule: ribosomal RNA, 1163 nt
Filed under: Nostoc sp. CMT-1FSIN-NPC7
Lineage: Bacteria; Bacillati; Cyanobacteriota; Cyanophyceae; Nostocales; Nostocaceae
Description: bacterial SSU rRNA
Rfam family: Bacterial small subunit ribosomal RNA
Source: RNAcentral
GGGGAAUUUUCCGCAAUGGGCGAAAGCCUGACGGAGCAAUACCGCGUGAGGGAGGAAGGCUCUUGGGUCGUAAACCUCUUUUCUCAGGGAAGAACACAAUGACGGUACCUGAGGAAUAAGCAUCGGCUAACUCCGUGCCAGCAGCCGCGGUAAUACGGAGGAUGCAAGCGUUAUCCGGAAUGAUUGGGCGUAAAGCGUCCGCAGGUGGCGAUGUAAGUCUGCUGUUAAAGAGUGAGGCUCAACCUCAUAAGAGCAGUGGAAACUACAUAGCUAGAGUACGUUCGGGGCAGAGGGAAUUCCUGGUGUAGCGGUGAAAUGCGUAGAGAUCAGGAAGAACACCAGUGGCGAAGGCGCUCUGCUAGGCCGUAACUGACACUGAGGGACGAAAGCUAGGGGAGCGAAUGGGAUUAGAUACCCCAGUAGUCCUAGCCGUAAACGAUGGAUACUAGGCGUGGCUUGUAUCGACCCGAGCCGUGCCGUAGCUAACGCGUUAAGUAUCCCGCCUGGGGAGUACGCCGGCAACGGUGAAACUCAAAGGAAUUGACGGGGGCCCGCACAAGCGGUGGAGUAUGUGGUUUAAUUCGAUGCAACGCGAAGAACCUUACCAAGGCUUGACAUGUCGCGAAUCUCGGUGAAAGCUGAGAGUGCCUUCGGGAGCGCGAACACAGGUGGUGCAUGGCUGUCGUCAGCUCGUGUCGUGAGAUGUUGGGUUAAGUCCCGCAACGAGCGCAACCCUCGUUUUUAGUUGCCAGCAUUAAGUUGGGCACUCUAGAGAGACUGCCGGUGACAAACCGGAGGAAGGUGGGGAUGACGUCAAGUCAGCAUGCCCCUUACGCCUUGGGCUACACACGUACUACAAUGCUCCGGACAGAGGGCAGCAAGCCAGCGAUGGCAAGCAAAUCCCGUAAACCGGAGCUCAGUUCAGAUCGCAGGCUGCAACUCGCCUGCGUGAAGGAGGAAUCGCUAGUAAUUGCAGGUCAGCAUACUGCAGUGAAUUCGUUCCCGGGCCUUGUACACACCGCCCGUCACACCAUGGAAGCUGGUAGUGCCCGAAGUCAUUACUCCAACCAUUCGUGGAGGAGGAUGCCUAAGGCAGGACUGGUGACUGGGGUGAAGUCGUAACAAGGUAGCCGUACCGGAAGGUGUGGCUGGAUCACCUCCUU